This 79-nucleotide signal recognition particle RNA is filed under the name Bacteroidetes bacterium QH_10_64_19. RNAcentral's name for it is "signal recognition particle sRNA small type". The stretch from base 11 to 53 matches the Rfam family "Bacterial small signal recognition particle RNA", at positions 24 to 66 of the family's 97-position model. Rfam says of the family: The signal recognition particle (SRP) is a universally conserved ribonucleoprotein involved in the co-translational targeting of proteins to membranes. Lineage: Bacteria; Pseudomonadati; Bacteroidota. The record is from RNAcentral.
CGGCCAGCUCCCUCUGAACCCCGUCAGGGCCGGAAGGCAGCAGCGGUAGGAGGUCGAACGACAAUCAAGCUGGGCUGAA